This is a long non-coding RNA of Manis pentadactyla (Chinese pangolin), 435 nucleotides long. RefSeq lists it as uncharacterized. Lineage: Eukaryota; Metazoa; Chordata; Mammalia; Pholidota; Manidae. The transcript is spliced from 3 exons. The record is from RefSeq and is a predicted model, not a curated record.
AUCUGACAGAGAUACUGAGAUGUUUUGCCAGUUCCCAGGAAACCAGUGGGAAAGACAGAGUCGCUGCCAGAGGUGCCCCAGCAAGCCAGCAAGCCGUGGCUUUCUCUGGCAUAACGCAAGCCCUUAGGAGCUGUGUGAUCCCAGCAGUUGCUCUAAAGGUCAAAUCUGAAACUGGUUAGGUAACAAGACUGGACAGCGCACUGAAUCUGAGAAAAUGAAGGGGCCCUAGAGGUUGGAAAGUCCAAAUCUUCACUGUGCAAAAGAGAAAACUGAGGCCCAGAGAAUAGGAACAGCUAUGCAUAUGAUUUUGCUGACAAAAUCCAUCUGCACCUGCAAGAACAAGGCUCAAAUCCUGGGUGAGGAUGGAUCUUUCACCAAGUGUGGCUUGAGGCCCACUGAGAAAUACUGCCCCACCCACCAAACUUACCACAAUGA